GAAUCAGGUGUUUAAGAGAUGCACCACCCUGCUUCAGAGGUUAAUGAAGCACAAGCAUGGGUGGGUGUUUAAUGAGCCAGUGAAUGUGGAGCGUCUGGGGCUGCAUGAUUAUCAUGCUAUCAUCAAGCAUCCUAUGGAUUUGGGCACUAUCAAAGCUAGGCUAUCUCAAAAUUGGUACAAGUCCCCCAGGGAGUUUGCUGAGGAUGUGAGACUUGUCUUUCAUAAUGCCAUGACUUAUAAUCCCAAAGGACAUGAUGUUCAUCUUAUGUCGGAACAGUUGUUAAAGAUUUUUGAAGACAGGUGGGCAGUUAUAGAGGCAGAGUUUAAUCCGGAUUGGAGGUAUCAAAUGUAUCAUGAUGCAGGUUUGCCUACCCCCGCUUCAAGAAAGGUCCCUCAGCCUUCUCCCUUUGCCCGUGCUUCUGUAACUUCUCAUCCACCUGCUUCUCAAGCAAGGGCUUUGGAAAGGUCUGAGUUAAUGACUGAACCAGCUGAUUUCAGGUUCAAGCCAUCACGCGUUGCUCAUGUCGGUAGGGUACCAGUUCCUAAGAAACCUAAAGCAAAUGAUCCCAAUAAAAGGGAUAUGACCUAUGAAGAAAAACAGAGACUCAGCACACAUCUCCAGAGCUUACCUUUAGAAAAGCUUGAUGCUGUUGUUCAG
This 658-nucleotide unclassified non-coding RNA is filed under the name Hevea brasiliensis (rubber tree). Lineage: Eukaryota; Viridiplantae; Streptophyta; Magnoliopsida; Malpighiales; Euphorbiaceae. The record is from RNAcentral.